GGGGGCGUGGCGGAAUGGCAGACGCAAGGGAUUUAAAAUCCCUUGACCGACAGGUCGUGCGGGUUCGAGUCCCGCCGCCCCCACCA
This 86-nucleotide transfer RNA is filed under the name Planctomycetota bacterium. Its description in RNAcentral is "tRNA-Leu". It matches the Rfam family "tRNA". Rfam says of the family: Transfer RNA (tRNA) molecules are approximately 80 nucleotides in length. Their secondary structure includes four short double-helical elements and three loops (D, anti-codon, and T loops). Further hydrogen bonds mediate the characteristic L-shaped molecular structure. tRNAs have two regions of fundamental functional importance: the anti-codon, which is responsible for specific mRNA codon recognition, and the 3' end, to which the tRNAs corresponding amino acid is attached (by aminoacyl-tRNA synthetases). tRNAs cope with the degeneracy of the genetic code in two manners: having more than one tRNA (with a specific anti-codon) for a particular amino acid; and 'wobble' base-pairing, i.e. permitting non-standard base-pairing at the 3rd anti-codon position. The record is from RNAcentral. Lineage: Bacteria; Pseudomonadati; Planctomycetota.